Molecule: unclassified non-coding RNA, 2535 nt
Filed under: Leguminivora glycinivorella
Lineage: Eukaryota; Metazoa; Arthropoda; Insecta; Lepidoptera; Tortricidae
Description: serine/threonine-protein kinase Doa, transcript variant X8
Source: RNAcentral
UAAGAAGAAGCAUGACAGGAUAUUUUUCUUUAUACCCAACGCUCGUCAUCACCACAAGUGUUCACCCGAAUGUCCGUCUUUUACUCGUUCAAUAAUGACGUUAGUUUGUCAACCUGUCCAAUGCAGAACCAGAAUAAGGGCGAAAUGUCAGAACGCGCCCGUUUGGGAUAAAGUGCGGGACGGGUUUGGAUUGUAAACGCGCGUGCGCCUUCGCCCGUGAAGAUGUGCGCGAGAGACGGCGACCUCCUCGCGCUUGCGCCCGUUCUAUUUGCGUUCGCCUUCGUCAGUUGGUACGCCUUCAGUCAGUCGCGAAACUCUGCCGGCCGCCUGGCGCGCUUCUCCCGACGCCCCGAAAUACUCGCCCGCCGCGCCCGGCCGCGCGCGUGCGCGAGCCAUGGCUGACCAGCCGUCGCGUCCGCCGCCUAACAAUUUACUCUUCUGCGGGCCCCCACCCGCCCUUCCGCCCGUACUUCUCUUACCGGCGAACUAUACGCUCGAACCACCAGCACUGCCUGCCCAACCUGACAGUGCCCCAACUCUAACAAACAAUGAAAAUAAUCUGCACGAAAUAAACAACGUGGGUGUGCCAACUUACAACACUCAAUUUCAAACACACGCUGAUGACCCUGAGCCACAGAAGGAACUUUAUACGCAGCCUGUAUUACCAGCAUUCAACAACAAUUUUAGAAGAACAAAUAGUUUCGAUGCAUCAUACAUAUACAAUGAAUUAGAAAAUGAAAUUGAAAUUACACCACGCCUAUGUAGGUCUGAGCCUGACUUAUCUAGAUGUGGGUUGAUGGCUGAAUCUGAAGUUUUUGUAGAAUAUGAACCCCACAAAGGGCAUAUAGCAGGGGCUCCACUUGUACUUAAUAAUCCCUUUUAUGAUGGAUCGUACGCCCUAGGCCCCGCGCAAUACAGCCAACCAAUUGUCAUGUUACCGGAUAAUUACAUGGCGUUUGAAGACUGUUUCGUACCGACUUGGGAUUACAAACCAGAACAAUUUGUUGAUAGAGAAAUGUUUUAUGACGGUUUAUCCAUGAUACCGUCCAACGAUCCUUGGGCCAUUAUGCAGUAUGGCACAGACAAUGCUGCAUUUGAUUAUUACACUCCCCAUUAUGUGGAAAACCCAAUUGAAGAUCAUAAGGAUAUACGUUAUAUGCCAUUGAGUGACAUAGACUACGCGAUACCUCAGUACAUGAGUUUGCCAGUGGUAGAAGACCCUAAAGUUGAAACUUUUACGGAUAGUCAUAUCCAAGCGUCAUCAGCACCUAGUACUCUUAAUAACGAGCAAACAUCAGAAGUCGACAAAAGUUUGCGAAACGCAGACGAUCAAAAUUUACGCACUGAAAAUGCAAAUACAACUUGUCUUUCAAAUAUUACUAACCAAGAAACUGGCGGUAAUGAAAGAAUUAGUGGUCUUGGCUCUUUCACCGAAAACAGACAAUCAUCUAUUCAAAGCGAAGAGUCGUUAAUCGCAGAUACGUCGAUCGAUGUUACGUCUAGCUUGGCAUUCGUACCGACCAGCCAAAGUUCAGAGACGCCGCUCGCCGGCGACGCCACCAGCGACGACGACACGUCCCCGUCCUCCACCGACUACCACGAGGCUUCUGCCCUCGACCUAGCUCAAAGCCUCGACGAACUCUCUUCAUGUGAAAGCACAGACUUUUCACAAAGUAGGGACGAGGUUUCGCCGCUUAUUCCUAAUCCUCCUAAAUUUAACGAAAUAGUGCCAAGUGAUGUUAGUAACAAUGUGAAAGUUGAAAGCGUUGUUUUAAAUAAAACACCAGUUGAUAUUCCUAAUCUGCUCAUUCCAAAUAAUAACAAGGUGCCUAUAAUUAAUGUAACUAAUAGUUUACCAGAUAGGAUAGACUUUGAUAAAGACGUAACACCAGGCAUAUCAGUUAAAAACCACGCCAUUGAGACUGUCACUGAAAAUCAUGAACAAGUUAUAAAAGUGAGUGAAUAUAAUGAAAAAAAUAUAUCUAAGGAAGUUAGUCAAAUUGUGAAUAGCAGUGCUGGAAAAGUCAGUGGCCCCGAAACAUCGCCCCUAACACCGCCUCAUCCGCCAGCAGUGCCGUCUUCUUGGUUAACUAAUAAAACAUCGGUCUGUGACAGUGAGAAAGAUACAGUGCUUCCCUCAUCACCUCAGAUUCAAAUAGAAUAUGCAGAGGCGUCAACAGUAGGGGAGAAGGAUGCUAAACUUCCGGCAAAGGAAUCAUCUUACGAGAGCAAGCUGGUUCCCAAGCCUUCCUGCUCUUUUGUGCCGCUUGUUGUACCUCCACACGUGCCCCAAUUCAAGCCCAAAGAACCACCUAAAGAAGUAGAGACAAAAUCAUCGACACGCUCGGUGAGGGCACGUUCGGCAAAGUGGUGGAGGUGAAAGAUUUAGAAAUGGAACACAGAAUGGCUCUGAAGAUAAUAAAAAAUGUAGAAAAGUACAGAGAGGCUGCGAAACUAGAAAUAAAUGUAUUAGAAAAGUUAGCUGAAGUUGACCCAGACUGUAAAAACUUAUGUGUAAAAAUGUUAGACUGGUUC